This 29-nucleotide non-coding RNA is filed under the name Rattus norvegicus (Norway rat). Lineage: Eukaryota; Metazoa; Chordata; Mammalia; Rodentia; Muridae. The record is from RNAcentral.
UGGAUCUCAGAUUAUUUGUAAGCAGGUAC